This 441-nucleotide ribosomal RNA is filed under the name uncultured Erysipelotrichaceae bacterium. RNAcentral's name for it is "bacterial SSU rRNA". It matches the Rfam family "Bacterial small subunit ribosomal RNA", at positions 349 to 782 of the family's 1533-position model. The record is from RNAcentral. Lineage: Bacteria; Bacillati; Bacillota; Erysipelotrichia; Erysipelotrichales; Erysipelotrichaceae.
CAGCAGUAGGGAAUUUUCGUCAAUGGGCGCAAGCCUGAACGAGCAAUGCCGCGUGAACGAGGAAGGUCUUCGGAUCGUAAAGUUCUGUUGAAGGGGAAAAAGAGCGGAGAGAGGAAAUGGUCUCCGAUUGAUAUUACCCUUCGAGGAAGUCACGGCUAACUACGUGCCAGCAGCCGCGGUAAUACGUAGGUGGCGAGCGUUAUCCGGAAUGAUUGGGCGUAAAGGGUGCGUAGGCGGCCUGCUAAGUCUGGAGUGAAAGGUACCGGCUCAACCGGUACAGGCUCUGGAAACUGGCGGGCUAGAGAGCAGGAGAGGGCGGUGGAACUCCAUGUGUAGCGGUAAAAUGCGUAGAUAUAUGGAAGAACACCAGUGGCGAAGGCGGCCGCCUGGCCUGUUGACUGACGCUGAGGCACGAAAGCGUGGGGAGCAAAUAGGAUUAGA